RNAcentral lists this long non-coding RNA (3178 nucleotides) under Heterocephalus glaber (naked mole-rat). RNAcentral describes it as "lncRNA (ENSHGLG00100039141.1)". The record is from RNAcentral. Lineage: Eukaryota; Metazoa; Chordata; Mammalia; Rodentia; Bathyergidae.
AGAAGGAGGAGAGCAGAGAAAAGCAGGUGAAUAUUUGUAUCCUUAAGAGGCAGGUAAUAUAGCUGGUAAAGUUCUUGUCUAAUUUCUGAUGUUGGCCCAGUGGAGUUCUCCAAGGGGAAAGCAGCAACAAAGGAUAAGGAGGGAUCCUUGAGGGGUGAAUUUAGUCCUAUUCCAGUGCUGGCUAGUGGCACAAGCUACCAGCAUGACUCCAGGGCAGAUACUGAAUUUCCUCCAACCAUUGUUCCCUGUUUGUUAAAGAAGAGAUCUUUUCAGGUAUAAUACUUAUUUCCAGCUACCUAAAGGCCAAGCAGGUAAUAUAAAUGAGUGAAGUCAGCUGCAAAUUAAGCAGAAGCAUGAGCUGCUGAGCUCACGCCCCUUCUGACAAGAGUCAGAUGUUUCUUCUUGAAAGUGCACCAAACAAACGAAGUGAAUCUGCAGCUACGUUAAACCCAGGAUGGACUAUCCCUAGUUAUCCUUCCAGUUCAUAGCCAUAACUUCUAAUUUUGGGUUCAUUUGUCACUGGGGAUCAACGUCUUUGUUGCCUGCUGGUAUUGGACCAGAAUCAGGAAGAGAUUAAGCAAACUCAAUAGAAGAGGUAUUAAACUUGUUUGUUUAUAAGAACAAUGGCCCCCCUAAGCAACAAGUAAGAAUUUGGUGAUUAGAUGCCAAGGUCAAGGAAGAAACACAAUUAACUAAAUCCUAUCAUUGAAUAGAAUCCAUGUACAUUCUGCAGCCAGAAGAAAGAGGAAACAAAUCUCGAGAAUAUCUGGUCCUGUUUCAGUUUUGCUUAGAAAUGGCAACCCUAGUCUUAAGGACAAAGUUGAUCAACUGAGCUUCCAGGCUUCCCUACAAUAAAGGAGAUCAAAGUAGAUAGGGAACACAGUCAUCAGGCCCAGAUGUUUUGAAUUAGUCAGGAGGACUUGGUUUUACCCGUGCUGUUAAGUAUGGCAAUCAUGAACUGAUUACCUUUACUGACAUUUUAAGAGCAGCUGGUCUGAACACAAAUGAAGAAUUGGAGUUUACACCUUUCAGAGCCAUUUCUAUGAAUACUUCCUUCCUAAUGAUGCGUUUCUUCACAAAGCUUCAGAGUUGUUAGAGCUCUUUAUAGAGCCAGCUCCAAAAGUGGCCCCAGAGAUAAAUGGGCAGCUACUAUUACAAAGCCCGGUAAACACUAGAGAUGUCAGAGUGAAGUGGCUUUAUUAAGACACUUGUUUCUGCUUAGGUUCUAAAUUGUUUAUAAGAGGAAGGAAAAGUAACAAUUUAAAGCCAGAAACUUUACUGCCUCAUUUUUGCAUGCUAGGGAAGUAGAAUCUCUCACAGGGAGACAGCUUCUUAUUCAGGAUUUUACCUUGCUGGGACACUAAAUGGGAAAUGUGACCUGCUCCUUCCUUCGCCAGGCUUUAUGUUUCCACAGGAGAAACAGAAAGGAAGCUGGAUCAGUGAUCUGAACAUAAGAGGAGUAAAAUGUGGGAAUGAGGGCCUGGGAAAAGACAACGAGGAAAGUCAGAGGAGAGGCUUUGGAGAAGAGACAGCAGAGACAGCAGCUGCUCAUGGCUGGUGGUGGGAGAGCCAUUGGCCACUCUUAUGCUUGUCCCUGCUUCUGUUCACCACAGCCGUAGGGCUACUAGGAGGAAUUCGGGACAAGUACAAAGAAGGCAAGCUUGCUUUCUACAUGUCACGCCCUACUGUCAUGGAGGUAUGGACAAAGUACAGUGGAAACAUCAAGAACCAACCAAUCAGCCCUGGCACGGGGAGUCUGGAGGUCACCAAGAAGGGGAUAGAUGGGAAGGUGCUUACCAACUGGAGCAGGAACAGCAGGCUGAGCAUUCUGUGAGGAUACAGCCUAUGCAAGCCACUCAGGUUUGAAAGGACCUGAGCAGUUUAGAGAAAAGUCAAAUUUUGAUGGCUUUUUUUGUUCAAGCUAAACUUUUUUCUUUACUGCUUAAAAAAAAUAAGCAACAAAAAAAUGAAUAUGAAGAGGACAGGGCAUAAACAGAUUUUUGUCAUAAUAAGGCUUGAGGUGUGCCUUCCAACCACUUAUCUAUUCAAUAAAUGUCCACCAAGCUCUUAGAUGCCAGGACUAUGCUAGGCAGGGAGAAUUUAGUGAUCAACCAACAGAAUGGAUCUUAUUGUCAGGGCACUUACAGCUUGGCUAGGAGAUUGAUGUGAAAAAAUCAUCACAAUAAGCAAAGUUUAACUAUAAGUGGUGGAAAAUUCUAUGUAGGAAAGUCAAGCAUUAGUGUGACAGAAUUUAAAGGGAGACCUCACUUUGACUAGGGUUGGGUCAGAGUCAGGUCAGUAGGGCUUCCAGGUGAAACUCGAUGGAUGAUUAAGUACUAACCAAGCUGAGAGGGUUGUCAGGGCUGUGGAGCUUAGGAACUAGAAGGUUACCAAUCAAUUAGUAAGCGAUUCUAAUGGGCCAUGCAGAUUGCUGAUAGCCCAGCUACAAAAAUUCAAGGCUUGGUCUGUGUUAGCCACCGAUGCUACCUCUAGCUCUGACAUUUGAUAGCAAGAAUCUGCUAUAGCUAGGACAUUGUACUAGGUGCUGACUAGAAAAGUAAUAAACAUAUGUAAGAUAUAGCUCCUCAACAGAGUGAUAGUCCAACAAAUUGGACAUUUGAUGGAGGUUUACAGCUUAGCUACAUAUAUAUUAUGUUUAUAGGGCCUUAAAAAGAUUCCUAUAAAAGAGCAGAGAGACGCUGUUAAGGUCCCUUGCUUGCUUGCUUUUGGUGUCUUCUACUUGCCAUGAACUUCUCCUCUGUGAUGCCCCUCUGCUAAGGCACCCUGCCUUGGAGCCAGCUGAUUAUGGACUGAAACCUCCACAAACUGUGAGCUAAAUCUUACCCCCUUUAAAAAAAACAGAUUCUUAUAACACUUUUCAUUAUUUGUUGUUGAAAUUAUAGAAUGAUCUAUCACUCCCAGAACCCAACUUCUGCUUCCUAAGUUUCUUCUUUUGGAUCAACUCUUAUUUAAAGCUAAAUAGUCACAAAAGGAAAGAAGGGAAAAGAAUAAAUAUGAGAAAAGAAAAAAUGGAAACAAAGUCUUUGUAAAUGGGGGGGGGGGUGAACAGGUUGAAGGGUGGGAAGGGGAAUGGGGAAAAAAUAAGAACCAAGAUAUAUUAUGUAAAGGUAUAAAUUCCCAACAAUGAAUGUCAGCAUAUUGUAUACCUAAAAUGUAC